Molecule: non-coding RNA, 73 nt
Organism: Perkinsus marinus ATCC 50983
Lineage: Eukaryota; Perkinsozoa; Perkinsida; Perkinsidae
Source: Rfam
GCCGGGAUGGUCUAGUGGUUAUGACGUCUGCCUUACACGCAGAAAAUCGCGAGUUCAAUCCUCGCUCCUGGUA